CUUAAGACCAGCUAACUUGGGUGGCGUUUGGAAUUUGAACUCUGAAAGUCAAUAUUUCAGUCACACUCGCGCAUACGGAGAAAAAGAGAGAAUGGAGAGUGUGGCGCUUCCCUUUGUGGGCAUGAUGAUGGCCGAGUGUGCACAGGUUGGGCUAAUGAUAGUGGGCAAAGCGGCUAUGUCGAGGGGAAUGAGCAACCUCAUCUUCAUCUUCUAUUCCAACGCCCUUGCCUCAUUCAUCCUUCUCCCCACUUCCUUUUUCUUCCACGGAUCAGAGCGUCCUCCGAUCACUUUCUCCCUCCUUUGUGGAUUCUUCGUGCUCGGCCUACUUGGUUUUGGUGUACAGAUUCUAGGCUAUGCUGGGAUUUUGUAUAGCUCGCCGACGCUUGGCACGGCCAUGCUUAACCUUAUCCCAGCCUUUACUUUUAUUUUGGCCGUUGCUCUCAGGAUGGAGAAACUGGAUUGGAGAAGCUCCAGUAGCCUAGCUAAAUCCUUGGGAGCCAUGUUGUCCAUUACAGGGGCAUUCAUUGUGACUUUAUUCAAGGGCCUUCCACUUUUAACGACACCCUCACCUUCAGAAGCAUCUCAUCAACUUCUAUUGCAAAUGUCAAACUGGGUCGUUGGAGGAUUGCUCCUUGCAGCUGAUUCUGUACUGGCUUCAGUAUGGCUUAUCUUGCAGGCAUUGAUACUUAAAAAAUACCCAGCAGGGCUUAUUAUAGCCUUUUUCUACUGCUUCUUUGUGGCCAUUCAAUCUGCAGUUGUUUCAUUGGUCUUGGAAAGAGACUUCAGUUCUUGGAGCUUACAACCUAAUACGAGGUUGAUUGCUGUUCUAUACUCGGGAAUGUUCGGUUCUGCAUUCCAAGUUGGCAUUUCUGUAUGGUGCAUGCACAAGACCGGGCCUGUUUUUGUUGCCAUGUUCAAGCCCGUGGGUAUUUUCAUUUCUAUUGUCGUGGGUGUUAUCUUACUAGGAGAUACUUUAUAUCUCCUAAGUUUGAUUGGAGCAAUUCUGAUUGUCAUUGGAUUUUAUUCUGUAAUGUGGGGAAAAGCCAGAGAACAGAAAAUGAGUGGGGAAGCUGCGGUAAGCAACUUGGACUCCAGCAGACAAAAAGCCCCUCUCUUGCAAAACAGUAUCGAAGAAAUGUAGAAAUUUCAUACAUCAAAUCAAAGCUUAAAGGUCUCUGUUGCCAACCCAAAUGGGGACCAGACUUUGUUUGACAGUUUAAUAUCAGGACAACUAAAGUUGAUUUCAACCAUGAACUUGGGAGGGAUGUUAGCCCCACCCCUUUUUAGAAGAAUAUUAUUUUGCCCAACUCUGAUGGGAAGAAGUCCAGGAAGCUAUUAGAUGGGCAACAAUAGUGUUUUCCAUGUGAUGUUGAAUCCGAACAUGGUAGGCAUGACUAUAGACCUUGUCAUGAUCUGAAAGUAAUGCUUUUACAGUCAAUCAUUCCACAUACAAAAGUAUGGCAAUCCAAUGAAAUCGGACUUCUUGCUUUUGGGGUCAGUGGGAUGAUCAAAUCUUAUGGAUGCAAUUAUCUGACUCGAGUUGAAGUCGUGACCUUCAACUUCAACUGCUUGUCAUAUCUAAUGGACGGACAUUUACUGCAUAUUUUUAUUCCCGCCCUUGAAUGUUUCAACUUUGACAGCAGAUUGAAUAACUGAAGUGAUUCUCAACUAUAGCUAGCUACUCUAGCCUGUGUAAUCAGUACGGAUAAAAAGACAUCUCUAGUUAUUCUCC
Molecule: RNA transcript, 1732 nt
Organism: Carya illinoinensis
Lineage: Eukaryota; Viridiplantae; Streptophyta; Magnoliopsida; Fagales; Juglandaceae
Gene name: WAT1-related protein At5g40240-like
Exons: 9
Source: RefSeq, a predicted model, not a curated record